RNAcentral lists this transfer RNA (66 nucleotides) under Myospalax aspalax (false zokor). RNAcentral describes it as "tRNA-His". It matches the Rfam family "tRNA". From Rfam's summary of the family: Transfer RNA (tRNA) molecules are approximately 80 nucleotides in length. Their secondary structure includes four short double-helical elements and three loops (D, anti-codon, and T loops). The record is from RNAcentral. Lineage: Eukaryota; Metazoa; Chordata; Mammalia; Rodentia; Spalacidae.
GUAAAUAUAGUUUAAAAAACAUUAGACUGUGAAUCUAAAGAUAGGAAUCCUUACUCCUUAUUUACC